This 245-nucleotide ribosomal RNA is filed under the name uncultured bacterium. Its description in RNAcentral is "partial 16S ribosomal RNA". It matches the Rfam family "Bacterial small subunit ribosomal RNA", at positions 524 to 768 of the family's 1533-position model. The record is from RNAcentral.
UACGAGAGCCCCAAGCGUUAUCCGGAAUUACUGGGCGUAAAGGGUGUGUAGGCGGUUUUGUUAGUCUCUUGUUAAAGCUCCCGGCUUAACCGGGAAAAGGCAGGGGAAACGGCAUAACUAGCGGAUGCGAGAGGUUUAUGGAACUCAUGGUGUAGGGGUGAAAUCCGUUGAUAUCAUGGGGAACACCAAAUGCGAAGGCAAUAAACUGGCGCACUCCGGACGCUGAAACACGAAAGCAUGGGUAG